CAAUAGCGUAUAUUAAAGUUGUUGCAGUUAAAAAGCUCGUAGUUGAAGUUUGGGCCUGGGCGGGCGGUCUACCUAUGGUGAGUACUGCUGCGGCCGGGUCUUUCCUUCUGGCUAGCCCUCGGGCGAACCAGGACGAUUACGUUGAGGAAAUUAGAGUGUUCAAAGCAGGCCUUUGCUCGGAUAUAUUAGCAUGGAAUAAUAGAAUAGGACGCAUGGUUCUAUUUUGUUGGUUUCUAGGACCAUCGUAAUGAUUAAUAGGGACGGUCGGGGGCAUCAGUAUUCAGUUGUCAGAGGUGAAAUUCUUGGAUUAACUGAAGACUAACUACUGCGAAAGCAUUUGCCAAGGACGUUUUCAUUAA
RNAcentral lists this ribosomal RNA (359 nucleotides) under uncultured eukaryote. RNAcentral describes it as "partial 18S ribosomal RNA". It matches the Rfam family "Eukaryotic small subunit ribosomal RNA", at positions 592 to 976 of the family's 1831-position model. The record is from RNAcentral.